CCUCGGGCGGCAGCAGUGGGGAAUAUUGGACAAUGGGCGAAAGCCUGAUCCAGCCAUGCCGCGUGUGUGAAGAAGGCCUUCGGGUUGUAAAGCACUUUCAGUGGGGAAGAAAGCCUUGGGGCUAAUACCCUCGAGGAAGGACAUCACCCACAGAAGAAGCACCGGCUAACUCCGUGCCAGCAGCCGCGGUAAUACGGAGGGUGCGAGCGUUAAUCGGAAUUACUGGGCGUAAAGCGCGCGUAGGCGGUCUGAUAAGCCGGUUGUGAAAGCCCCGGGCUCAACCUGGGAACGGCAUCCGGAACUGUCAGGCUAGAGUGCAGGAGAGGAAGGUAGAAUUCCCGGUGUAGCGGUGAAAUGCGUAGAGAUCGGGAGGAAUACCAGUGGCGAAGGCGGCCUUCUGGACUGACACUGACGCUGAGGUGCGAAAGCGUGGGUAGCAAACAGGAUUAGAUACCCCGGUAGUC
RNAcentral lists this ribosomal RNA (464 nucleotides) under Vreelandella stevensii. Its description in RNAcentral is "partial 16S ribosomal RNA". It matches the Rfam family "Bacterial small subunit ribosomal RNA", at positions 339 to 795 of the family's 1533-position model. The record is from RNAcentral. Lineage: Bacteria; Pseudomonadati; Pseudomonadota; Gammaproteobacteria; Oceanospirillales; Halomonadaceae.